RNAcentral lists this ribosomal RNA (484 nucleotides) under uncultured bacterium. RNAcentral describes it as "partial 16S ribosomal RNA". It matches the Rfam family "Bacterial small subunit ribosomal RNA", at positions 28 to 507 of the family's 1533-position model. The record is from RNAcentral.
AUUGAACGCUGGCGGCAUGCUUUACACAUGCAAGUCGAACGGCAGCGCGGGCUUCGGCCUGGCGGCGAGUGGCGAACUGGUGAGUAAUGCAUCGGAACGUGCCCAGUUGUGGGGGAUAGCCCGGCGAAAGCCGGAUUAAUACCGCAUACGCCCUGAGGGUGAAAGGGGGGGAGCGGAAGGCCUCGCGCUCUUGGAGGGGCCGAUGUCGGAUUAGCUAGUUGGUGGGGUAAAGGCUUACCAAGGCGACGAUCCGUAGCUGGUCUGAGAGGACGAACAGCCACACUGGGACUGAGACACGGCCCAGACUCCUACGGGAGGCAGCAGUGGGGAAUUUUGGACAAUGGGGGCAACCCUGAUCCAGCCAUGCCGCGUGCGGGAAGAAGGCCUUCGGGUUGUAAACCGCUUUUGUUCGGGAAGAAAUCCUCUGGGCUAAUACCCCGGGGGGAUGACGGUACCGGAAGAAUAAGCACCGGCUAACUACGUG